GGGUGGUUUCCACUUAUCCAUCCAAUAAACACAAUGUAUGGCUGAUAAGUUUCUUGAUAUCCUACUAAAUGUACACUAAUAAGGUGAUAAGUCCCUUUUUCUGAUAUUUUUAAUCCCGUUGAAAAGCCUUCCCGUUGAAUUAUUCUUUGGCUACACCAAAAGCAAAGUAUUUCCUGUCUCCAGCACCUACUUCUUUAGCUUUAGCAAAUUGCAUCCAUCAAUUUCAAUGUGUGUAAAUCACUUUUCCAGUAAAGAAA
This 257-nucleotide long non-coding RNA is filed under the name Solanum tuberosum (potato). RNAcentral's name for it is "long non-coding RNA (STUB_LNC006401)". Lineage: Eukaryota; Viridiplantae; Streptophyta; Magnoliopsida; Solanales; Solanaceae. The record is from RNAcentral.